Molecule: ribosomal RNA, 497 nt
Filed under: uncultured bacterium
Lineage: Bacteria
Description: partial 16S ribosomal RNA
Rfam family: Bacterial small subunit ribosomal RNA
Source: RNAcentral
GAUGAACGCUGGCGGCGUGCCUAAUACAUGCAAGUCGAGCGAACAGACGAGGAGCUUGCUCCUCUGACGUUAGCGGCGGACGGGUGAGUAACACGUGGAUAACCUACCUAUAAGACUGGGAUAACUUCGGGGAACCGGAGCUAAUACCGGAUAAUAUAUUGAACCGCAUGGUUCAAUAGUGAAAGACGCUUUUGCUGUCUCUUAUAGAUGAAUCCGCGCCGCAUUAGCUAGUUGGUAAGGUAACGGCUUACCAAGGCAACGAUGCGUAGCCGACCUGAGAGGGUGAUCGGCCACACAGGAACUGAGACACGGUCCAGACUCCUACGGGAGGCAGCAGUAGGGAAUCUUCCGCAAAGGGCGAAAGCCUGACGGAGCAACGCCGCGUGAGUGAUGAAGGUCUUCGGAUCGUAAAACUCUGUUAUUAGGGAAGAACAAAUGUGUAAGUAACUAUGCACGUCUUGACGGUACCUAAUCAGAAAGCCACGGCUAACUACGUG